RNAcentral lists this long non-coding RNA (4328 nucleotides) under Heterocephalus glaber (naked mole-rat). RNAcentral describes it as "lncRNA (ENSHGLG00000043208.1)". Lineage: Eukaryota; Metazoa; Chordata; Mammalia; Rodentia; Bathyergidae. The record is from RNAcentral.
CAUGUAGAAGGUCCUCUACUUCACAUUAAAGCAAUAUGUCGCAGGAAAUAGAUAGCAAAUUCUAAUCCACACAUAGAACAGGGCAAGAAGCCUGAAGAUGACACACUUCUUCCUCAUGUGUAAGGGAGCAGAGCAAGCCUGGAGGGCUUCCUGGAGGUCUGAGUGAUGCUGGGCCUUGAGAGCUGGGCCAGACUGGGGCAGUUGUACUAGGAAUCAAGCCCUCAAGAAAGCUGAUCACAAAGAAGAAACUCACACAAAAGUGGGUAAUGCACAAAUAUCAAUAUAAAAAGAAGAAGGUGAUAAAAUAAGGCAACAUGACUCUUCCACAGGUGACUAAUUCAUAAGUAACAAUACAAAGAUAUCCAAAUGGAUAAAAAGGUGGACAAAAAUCAAAGAAUUAUUUUUAAAUGACCAAUAACUUUAAGGAGGGUUUAAAUAAACAGUUGAAUGAAUUAGGGAAGCUUAUGCAGGAGAUGGAGACACAAUUCAAUAAAAAGAUAGAGGUUCUAAAGAAGAGGAAAACAAAAAUCUUGGAAAUGAAAAGCUCACAAUCAAAUAAAAAACUAAAUGAGAUGCAAGCAAAGGACAGAAUUUCAGGGCUUAAGGAUAAAAGUGAUGAAUUAUCACAUCCAGAUACUAGUAAAGAAAAAAUAACAAGUUAUUAACAAAGCACCCAAAACCCUGGGACGUGGUUAAAAGACUGAAAUGAGGAAGGUGUUGAAGUUCACACUAAGUUCGUUGAACAGAAAAUCUAUUUCAAUGAAAUACUACAAAGUUCCCAAAUGUUGGAAAAGAUACUGACAUCCAUAUGUAGUAGGCAUUUAGAACCACAAAGAAGCAUGGCCAUAAAAUAAUUUCCACAAGUCACAUUAUUGUUAAAAUGCCAAGCAUAUAGAGCAGGUUAAGAAUAUUGAAAGGUGAAAGAGAGAAACUUAAAGUCACAUAUAGGGGCAGACCCAUUAGAAUAAUUGAAGACUUAUCUCCAGAAAGUAUAAAGGUCAGAAGAUCAUGAAAUGAUGUACUUCAAGCCUUGAAAGAAAGUAUCUACUAACAUAGAUUAUUAAAUUCAGCAGAUUUAUCUUUCAAGUUGAAGGAAAAAUAAAGAAUUUCCAUGAGAAUCAUAAACAAAAGAAAUUAAUGACCACUAAAACAUCAUUGCAGUAUAAACUUAAAGGAAUCCUACAUACUAAAGUGGAAAAGACAUCAGCUAUUGAGAAGAACGUCAAGCACUACAAUAAUAUAAUGAAAUAACUACUGCAUAUCUUUCAAUAAUAACUCUGAAUCUAAAUGGCCUUAUUUCUCCUAAAAGAAGUGGACUUGCAGCCUGGAUUAAAAGCAAGACUCAACUCUUUUUUGCCUUCAAGAAACACACCUCACUAAGAAAGAUAUGUAAAGUAAAAUCAAAAGGAAAGAAAACAAAGUUUUAUGAAAAUGGAAUCUGAAAAUAAGAGGAGUAGUUUUACUCAUAUAAAACAAAGGAGAAUUUAAGACAAAAUUAUUUAGAAGAGAAAAAGAAGGCCACAAUAUAUUGGUAAAAAAAUAAUCCACCGAGAAAAAUAGAAAACAUAUACACAUUGCAUAUUGGUGCAUCCAACUUAGUAAAUCAAAAUAUUUGAUGGAAAGGGACACAGCACCCAAUACAAUAAUAGUGGGUGACUAUAAAACUCAACUCUUGACAAGACAGGUCAACCAGACAAAAAACUAGCAAAGAAUCAUGAAUUGAACUGCACCUUAGACUGAACAGGAAUAUAAGGAAUAUUUCAUCCAACAACUAGAGAAAACACAAUUUUUAUAGGCACAUGAGUUGUUCCCCAAAAGACACCAUAUUUUAGUGUAUAGAGAAACUGUUAACAAAUCUAAAAUGUUUUAAAAAUUCUUAUAUCUUAUCCUAUCAUGAUAGAAUGAAACUGGAAAUUAACAGCAAGAGAAGCUACAGGAAUUGCACAAACACAUGGAGAUUGAAGGGUCUCUAUUUUUGAACAAUCAGUUGGUCAUUGAAGAAAUCAAUGGAGAAGUUUAAAAAUGCCUAGAAUCAAAUGACAAUGCAACCAAAUAACAAAUACAACCAGCAAUAACAAAAUAACAGUACAACCAACAAGAAUCUCUAGGCUAUAAAGGGAAUAAAAGGGAAAUUUCUACCUUUGAAUGGCUACAUCAAAUAAUCAGAAAGAUCUGAAAUAACUUAAUGAUGCAUCCCAAGGUCUUGGAAAGAAAGAACUAUCCAAAAUCAACCCCAACAAAAGGAAAAAAUUAGUAAAGUCAGGGAUAAAGUUGAUAUAAUGAAUACAAAAUGAACAGUACAAAGGAUAAAUGAGACAAAGUUACUUCUUUAAAAAGAUAAACAAUAUUCAAAAUCCUUUAUUUAAACUAACCAAUUAAAAGAAAAGACCAAAUCAAUACAAUCAAAUAAGAACAGGGGGAUUUAAAAAAAAAACACCACUGAAAAUCAGAGAAUCAAUAGGGAUAAUUUUGAAAAUUUAUGGAGAAUCUAGAAGAAUGAGGUAAAUUUCCACACAUAUACAAUCUACCAAAAUUAAAAUAAGAAUAUAUAAAACACUUAAACAGGUCAAUAGCAAGUCAGAAGGUUGAAGAAGUAAUAAAAAGUCUCCAAUAAAGAAUCUUAAGACCAGGCAAAUUCAGUGCUGAAUUUUAUCACACUUUUAAAGAAAUAUUACCACCAAUGCUUCCCAAAUCAUUUUAUAAAAUAUAAAGAGAAGGAAUGCUUCCAAACUCAUUCUAUAAGGCCAAUGUCACCAAGACCAGAAAAAGACACAAGAAAAAACAAUAUUAGUGAUUAAAUGUAGAUGUAAAAAGCCUUAAUAGAUUACUUGUAAACAGAAUUCAGCAAUCCAUUAAAAAGAUCUACUUGGUCUAUUUUCAGAGAUUCAAGAAUAGUUCAACAUAUGCAAAUUAAUAAAUGUUUUGCAUAACAUAAAGAGAAUCAAGGAUAAAAAUCACAUGAUCAUUUUUUUGAGGCAGAAAAAACUUCAACAAAGUUCAAUAUCCCUUCAAUGACAAAAGCCCUGAAAAUCUAGAUCUUGAAGCAGUAUACCUUAAUAUGGUAAAGGUUAUACAAAAAAUGUACAAGCAUCAUACUGUAUGUAUAAAACUGACAGCAUUUUCUCUAAAAUCAGUAAUGAGACACAAAUGUCCACUGUCUCCCCUCUUAUUCAAUGUAUUACUUGAAAUUUUAGUCAUAUCAGUUAGGCAAGAAAAAGAAAUAAAAUGGGCACGAAUAGGAGAGGAAUGAGGCAAAUUAUCUUUAGUUGCUGAUAAUACGAUUCUAUACUUAAAAGAUACUAAAUACUCCAUCAAAAGAAUUUCCAAACUGAUAAAUUCAGGAAAGUAGUAGGAUAUAGAAUCAAUAAUAGAAGAUAGAUUGCUUUUGUGUACACCAAUAAUAAACACAUUGAGAAAAUAAUCAGUAAAUACAAUUCCAUUCACAAAUGCUUCACAAAACACCUACAAAUCAACCUAACUACAAAGAUGAGAGACAUCUGCAAUAAAAAUUUAAGAAUUCAGAAUAAAAGAAUUGAAAAGAACACUGGAUGAUGGAAAGAUCUCCCAUAUCCAUGAAUCAGAAGAAUUAAUAUUAACAUGGCCAUAUCAGAAACAAUGAUCUACAGAAUCAAUGUAGUUCACAUCAGAAUUCUGAUGGCAUCCUUCACAGAACAACAAAAAUCCCAAAAUUCAGUAAAAACACAAAAGACCCAAAAUAGCCAAAUAAAUCAUAAACAAAAAAGAGAAAAGUUGGAGGCAUCACAAUUUCUGAUUUCAAAUUAUACUUCAAAGUCAUACUAACAAAACAUCAUGGUACUUGAACCAAAAAACGACAUGUACAUUAAUGGAAUAGAAUAGAGGAUACAGAAACAAACUCAUGCAACUACAGCCAUCUGAUUCUUGACAUGAGUCAACAUCAUACUCUGCCUCUUUAGCAAAUUCUCCUGGGAAAACUGGACAUUCACAAGGCAAGACUGAAACUAGGUCUGCAUCUAAAUGUAUCAAAGACCUAAGUAGAAGACCUGAAACUUUCAAGUUGCUAAAGAAAAUAUAGGAGAACUUCUUGAAGUCCUAGGCACAGGCAAAAAUGUCCUGAAUAGGACUUCAACAGCACAGAAAAUAUGAUCAAGAAUCAACAAAUGAGACUACAUCAAGUUUAUGGUUCUACACAGCAAAAGAAACAGUCAACAGAGUGAAGAGACAUUUUACAGAAUAGGAGAAAAUCUUGGCCAGCUAUUCUUUUGACAGAUGAUAAAUAUCUACAAUGUAUAAGGAACUAAAGAGUUUAACAUAAAAGGAAGAAAAAGGAAAGGAGAAGGAAAAGGAAG